Molecule: unclassified non-coding RNA, 250 nt
Filed under: plant metagenome
Description: partial contains small subunit ribosomal RNA, internal transcribed spacer 1, and 5.8S ribosomal RNA
Source: RNAcentral
GUAGGUGAACCUGCGGAAGGAUCAUUAAUGAAUUAAAAACGAGGGGGGAGUUGUUGCUGGCCGCGAGGUAUCGUGCACGCUCUCCUUUUGUUCAUUCAUCUCACACCUGUGCACCUAUCGUAGGCUGAGCAAUCGGCUUAUGUAUAUUUAUACACCCUGUAAUGUCUUACGAAUGUAUGCAAGGCGCUUGCGUCUUUUAAAACUUGUACAACUUUCAACAACGGAUCUCUUGGCUCUCGCAUCGAUGAAG